This 253-nucleotide ribosomal RNA is filed under the name uncultured bacterium. RNAcentral's name for it is "partial 16S ribosomal RNA". It matches the Rfam family "Bacterial small subunit ribosomal RNA", at positions 524 to 776 of the family's 1533-position model. The record is from RNAcentral.
UACGAAGGGGGCUAGCGUUGCUCGGAAUCACUGGGCGUAAAGCGCACGUAGGCGGAUCGUUAAGUCAGGGGUGAAAUCCUGGAGCUCAACUCCAGAACUGCCUUUGAUACUGGCGAUCUUGAGUUCGGGAGAGGUGAGUGGAACUGCGAGUGUAGAGGUGAAAUCCGUAGAUAUUCGCAAGAACACCAGUGGCGAAGGCGGCUCACUGGCCCGAUACUGACGCUGAGGAGCGAAAGCAUGGGGAGCGAACAGG